GCUGCCUCCCGAAGCCGACUCAAGGACUGGGGACUUGGUGGAUCUAUGGCAUUGGUACCCACAGAGGUCACCUGCACAGAUAAAUCUGUCGCCACCCUUCAACCCUGGCCUACCGGAUCUGCGGGGAGAAAUGCAGCAUUUGAAUUGGGGAGUGUUCAGUCCUGCUCUGCGGGGCAUUUAUUUACAAAUAUCAGCUGCAACCCAGCCUUGAUAACGUCUCAUACAGUCAGAGGACUUUGCGGGAAGCACACUUCCUCCUUGUUUGGGGCUACAGGGAAAGCCCAGGAAAGCGAGUCCCAGAAGGCCUGGGACAGCUACACCCAGUUCACCCAUGCUCAACCCGGAACAGCCGACCCAAACGGUCAGGAAGGACUUUCUGGAAGCCCAUCUUCGUAUGCUCACCAGCCCACCCUCCUACGCUGGUCAGAGUGAGAUUGCUAACCUCAAGACCCCAUUCAAUGCCAGCUUUCAACUACUGCUGAAGACCAAUGUAGGUCCUGGAAUAGAAGAACUGCAGAGUAUCCGGAGCUGGCCGACCCCAGACUGAUUCUCAACAGGUGGCUGGGUAGUGCCCCCCACCCUGUGUUGGUCGUGCGGGACCCAUCGCACACAGAGAAGCCACCUUACCCCUCACCUCACCCCGUCGGCCAAAGACUGACCACCCGCGCCCGAGUGUGGGGAGGGGUGGGAAUUCCGGAUCACACACACACACACACACACACACACACACCAGGGUAGGGGAACAGGGAAGAUCUUACCUGCAGAAAGGUAAGAGAAGCCGGGAGCGUGUA
This 791-nucleotide long non-coding RNA is filed under the name Mus musculus (house mouse). RNAcentral's name for it is "SIX homeobox 3, opposite strand 1". Lineage: Eukaryota; Metazoa; Chordata; Mammalia; Rodentia; Muridae. The record is from RNAcentral.